This 175-nucleotide small RNA is filed under the name Salmonella enterica subsp. enterica serovar Hadar str. RI_05P066. Its description in RNAcentral is "RtT RNA". The stretch from base 38 to 175 matches the Rfam family "RtT RNA". From Rfam's summary of the family: This family represents a bacterial cis-regulatory element known as RtT RNA. The exact function of RtT is unknown although it is thought that it may be involved in changing the cellular response in relation to amino acid starvation. The record is from RNAcentral. Lineage: Bacteria; Pseudomonadati; Pseudomonadota; Gammaproteobacteria; Enterobacterales; Enterobacteriaceae.
CGGGCCAGUAUUAAGCAUUACCCCGUGGUGGGGUUCCCGAGCGAUCAUAAGGGAGCUGACUGCAAAUCUGCCGUCAUCGACUUCAAGGUUCGACUCGAGCAAUAGUGAGAGAACGUUGCCGCAGGCAACGGCCCGAAGGGUGAGGAGCUUUAGCUCCGAAUAAUCCUUACCGCUA